UACGUAGGGGGCAAGCGUUGUCCGGAUUUACUGGGCGUAAAGAGCGUGUAGGCGGCUUUACAGGUCCGUUGUGAAAACUCGAGGCUCAACCUCGAGACGCCGGUGGAAACCGUAAGGCUAGAGUCCGGAAGAGGAGAGUGGAAUUCCUGGUGUAGCGGUGAAAUGCGCAGAUAUCAGGAAGAACACCAAUGGCGAAAGCAGCUCUCUGGGACGGUACUGACGCUGAGACGCGAAAGCGUGGGGAGCGAACAGG
RNAcentral lists this ribosomal RNA (253 nucleotides) under uncultured bacterium. Its description in RNAcentral is "partial 16S ribosomal RNA". It matches the Rfam family "Bacterial small subunit ribosomal RNA", at positions 524 to 776 of the family's 1533-position model. The record is from RNAcentral.